This 497-nucleotide ribosomal RNA is filed under the name uncultured bacterium. Its description in RNAcentral is "partial 16S ribosomal RNA". It matches the Rfam family "Bacterial small subunit ribosomal RNA", at positions 28 to 507 of the family's 1533-position model. The record is from RNAcentral.
GAUGAACGCUGGCGGCGUGCCUAAUACAUGCAAGUCGAGCGAACAGACGAGGAGCUUGCUCCUCUGACGUUAGCGGCGGACGGGUGAGUAACACGUGGAUAACCUACCUAUAAGACUGGGAUAACUUCGGGAAACCGGAGCUAAUACCGGAUAAUAUAUUGAACCGCAUGGUUCAAUAGUGAAAGACGGUUUUGCUGUCACUUAUAGAUGGAUCCGCGCCGCAUUAGCUAGUUGGUAAGGUAACGGCUUACCAAGGCAACGAUGCGUAGCCGACCUGAGAGGGUGAUCGGCCACACUGGAACUGAGACACGGUCCAGACUCCUACGGGAGGCAGCAGUAGGGAAUCUUCCGCACUGGGCGAAAGCUUGACGGAGCAACGCCGCGUGAGUGAUGAAGGUCUUCGGAUCGUAAAACUCUGUUAUUAGGGAAGAACAAAUGUGUAAGUAACUAUGCACGUCUUGACGGUACCUAAUCAGAAAGCCACGGCUAACUACGUG